RNAcentral lists this long non-coding RNA (965 nucleotides) under Daphnia pulex (common water flea). RNAcentral's name for it is "uncharacterized LOC124194151, transcript variant X1". Lineage: Eukaryota; Metazoa; Arthropoda; Branchiopoda; Diplostraca; Daphniidae. The record is from RNAcentral.
CCUGUGGUUAAAUUCUGCAGCUACUCUCAAAAUAUUUUGUCUUGUUUGCUCGUGUUGAUUGUAGACUGCUUUUAAAUUAUCUAUCAGGGAAGCCCUAAUAAGAGGUAAAAAAUAACCAUGAGAAUAUGGGGUCGCAGAAAUAGAUGUCAACUGGUGGAAAAUAAGAAGGUGAUAUGGUAUUUUUCUUUUCUUUUUUAAAAAUACUGUCUGAUUUUUAAAGAUUUGGUGAGGAACAUCCAAUCUGUCGAUCGCGGUCGCUAACCAAUUGAUAGAAAAACAGCACUAAUAAUGGUAAGAAGGUGUGCUGUGAAGUGGCAUGAUAAUUUUAAUCAUGGACAUUCAGGUUUCAUUCGUAGGUAGAACUCGGAUGUGCUUUAUUCGAGAUUUUAACACAAAUUUCAUUUUAUUCAUAAAAAAAUUUAUCAUUAAGCUAAUUUGUUACAGCAUUACCUACUAUGGCUCGUCCCGGUUUGUAUUGCUUUGUAUAAUCUUUAGUUGAACGCUAAAUAUAUUAGAGGCUAGCUAAGCGAAUUUGGCUAGAUCUUUACAAGAUUAGUGAAUGUGAUUUUUUAAGGAAAUUGUGCCUGUUGCACAUCGAUAUUAUUGGUCUUGAUUCUUAAGGUGGCUUGGCUAAACUUUCAACGGUUAAACUCUAUUUAAUAAAUAGAUAACAUAACAUUUCGCUAAUGAUCUUGCAUUCUUGACUAAAUAUUUUCAGGCAACUUUAUUUGAAGUUUUUGUGGGCACUGAUUUGCAGAGUGCUCGUGACCAACAGAUAAAAUGGCCCAAUCCAUAUUGCAAAUUUGAAAGUCUUCCAACACCAUCCAAAACCAAGGAAUUUCUAUUUGCAAGUCUAAUUAGGUAGAAAACCUUUCUGAAAAGUUUAAGAGCCAUUGUUAAUUUCAAUUGACCCAUUCCAAUCCCCAGCAACGUAAACCUGCAAAAGGAAAGGCGCAUAAAACUUG